GAUGAAGAACGCAGCGAAAUGCGAUACUUGGUGUGAAUUGCAGAAUCCCGUGAACCAUCGAGUCUUUGAACGCAAGUUGCGCCCGAAGCCAUUAGGCCGAGGGCACGCCUGCCUGGGCGUCACACGUCGCUGCCCCCCCCAUCUACUCCUUCGGGAUUGCGGGGGGCGGAUGAUGGCCUCCCGUGCGCCUCGCCGCGCGGUUGGCAUAAAUGCCAAGUCCUCGGCGACGCACGCCACGACAAUCGGUGGUUGCGAAACCUCGGUUGCCCGUCGUGUGCGGUCGUCGCGCAUCGAGGGCUCGAAAAAAUUGCCGAGUUCCGGCUCGGCUUUCAACGCGACCCCAGGUCAGGCGGGGUUACCCGCUGAAUUUAAGCAUAUCAAUAAGCGGAGGA
Molecule: unclassified non-coding RNA, 392 nt
Filed under: soil metagenome
Description: partial contains 5.8S ribosomal RNA, internal transcribed spacer 2, and large subunit ribosomal RNA
Rfam family: 5.8S ribosomal RNA (bases 1-122)
Source: RNAcentral